UACGUAGGGGGCAAGCGUUGUCCGGAAUUAUUGGGCGUAAAGAGCGUGUAGGCGGUCCGGUAAGUCCGCUGUGAAAGUCAAGGGCUCAACCCUUGAAAGCCGGUUGAUACUGUCGGGCUAGAGUCCGGAAGAGGAGAAUGGAAUUCCUGGUGUAGCGGUGAAAUGCGCAGAUAUCAGGAAGAACACCCGUGGCGAAGGCGGUUCUCUGGGACGGUACUGACGCUGAGACGCGAAAGCGUGGGGAGCGAACAGG
This 253-nucleotide ribosomal RNA is filed under the name uncultured bacterium. RNAcentral's name for it is "partial 16S ribosomal RNA". It matches the Rfam family "Bacterial small subunit ribosomal RNA", at positions 524 to 776 of the family's 1533-position model. The record is from RNAcentral.